UAAUGCCUAGGAAUCUGCCUGGUAGUGGGGGAUAACGUUCGGAAACGAACGCUAAUACCGCAUACGUCCUACGGGAGAAAGCAGGGGACCUUCGGGCCUUGCGCUAUCAGAUGAGCCUAGGUCGGAUUAGCUAGUUGGUGAGGUAAUGGCUCACCAAGGCUACGAUCCGUAACUGGUCUGAGAGGAUGAUCAGUCACACUGGAACUGAGACACGGUCCAGACUCCUACGGGAGGCAGCAGUGGGGAAUAUUGGACAAUGGGCGAAAGCCUGAUCCAGCCAUGCCGCGUGUGUGAAGAAGGUCUUCGGAUUGUAAAGCACUUUAAGUUGGGAGGAAGGGCAGUUACCUAAUACGUGAUUGUUUUGACGUUACCGACAGAAUAAGCACCGGCUAACUCUGUG
Molecule: ribosomal RNA, 400 nt
Filed under: Pseudomonas sp.
Lineage: Bacteria; Pseudomonadati; Pseudomonadota; Gammaproteobacteria; Pseudomonadales; Pseudomonadaceae
Description: bacterial SSU rRNA
Rfam family: Bacterial small subunit ribosomal RNA
Source: RNAcentral